AAGUCGUAACAAGGUCUCCGUUGGUGAACCAGCGGAGGGAUCAUUACAGGACUCGCAAGACUCCUACAACCCUGUGAACCUACUAUACGAACGUUGCUUCGGCGGGUGCGCCCCGGGGAUUCGUUCCCGCGGCGCGUCAGCCCGCCGGCAGCCUACAAAUUCUGUUUCUUUGCGUUGGCAUCUCGAGAAAAACAAAUAAGUUAAAACUUUCAACAACGGAUCUCUUGGUUCUG
RNAcentral lists this unclassified non-coding RNA (233 nucleotides) under fungal sp. Its description in RNAcentral is "partial contains small subunit ribosomal RNA, internal transcribed spacer 1, and 5.8S ribosomal RNA". The stretch from base 1 to 46 matches the Rfam family "Eukaryotic small subunit ribosomal RNA", at positions 1786 to 1831 of the family's 1831-position model. Lineage: Eukaryota; Fungi. RNAcentral also lists the same sequence under 4 other names. The record is from RNAcentral.